CAAGAGACUUGUACACGGUCCAACGCGGAAAGCACUUCUNUAGAUUACAACUCGGACAGCCAAAAGACUCCCAGAUUUUAAAUUUGAGCUUUUCCCGCUUCACUCGCAGUUACUAGGGGAAUCCUUGUUAGUUUCUUUUCCUCUUGGUCCAAUUAGAGGAAGUAAAAGUCGUAACAAGGUUUCCGUAGGUGAACCUGCGGAAGGAUCAUUAUUGAAUUUUGAAAGAGGUUGUAGCUGAUCAUUAAUAAGAUAUGUGCACACCUCGUUUCCAAAUUUUACACCAUGUGCACUUUUUGUAGGCUGACUUCUGUUGGUCUAUGUCUUUUUUUUAAACACUCAAAAGUUUAGAAUGUUAAAAUACAAGUUUUGCUUUGUUGCAAGCUUUAAAAUUAAUACAACUUUCAACAACGGAUCUCUUGGCUCUCGCAUCGAUGAAGAACGCAGCGAAAUGCGAUAAGUAAUGUGAAUUGCAGAAUUCAGUGAAUCAUCGAAUCUUUGAACGCACCUUGCGCUCCUUGGUAUUCCGAGGAGUAUGCCUGUUUGAGUGUCAUUAAAUUCUCAAUCCUCUCAAACUUGUUUUGUAAGAGGCUUUGGAUUUUGGAGUGUUGCUGGCCUUUCAAAGUCGGCUCCUUUUAAAUGUAUUAGCUUGUAUAUUUUUGCAGAUAAGCUUUAGUUUGAUAAAUAUCUAUCUAAUUGCUUUGAAGCAAAUGUCAGCUUCCAAUUGUUGUUUUACAACACUUUCUUGACAUUUUUGACCUCAAAUCAGGUAGGACUACCCGCUGAACUUAAGCAUAUCAAUAAGCGGAGGAAAAGAAACUAACAAGGAUUCCCCUAGUAACUGCGAGUGAAGCGGGAAAAGCUCAAAUUUAAAAUCUGGCAGUCUUUUGGCUGUCCGAGUUGUAAUCUAGAGAAGUGCUUUCCGCGUUGGACCGUGUACAAGUCUCUUGGAACAGAGCGUCAUAGAGGGNGAGAAUCCA
This 977-nucleotide ribosomal RNA is filed under the name Thaxterogaster vibratilis. Its description in RNAcentral is "eukaryotic LSU rRNA". The stretch from base 753 to 977 matches the Rfam family "Eukaryotic large subunit ribosomal RNA", at positions 1 to 222 of the family's 3401-position model. The record is from RNAcentral. Lineage: Eukaryota; Fungi; Basidiomycota; Agaricomycetes; Agaricales; Cortinariaceae.